GAAGGACUUCUUGCUUCAUUUGUAAUGCUCUCCAGGGGCAACACUUUUAUGGUCUAAGUUCUACAGGCUGAAGAUUGUUUGUUCCAGCAUCAUCUGUGGACCGGGGCUGUGAUCCUACACAGGAGCGGUGGCAGUGCUAGCUCCAUCAAAGGAUUCCAGGUAUUGUUCCUGAGUUAUAUCUUUCGUAAUGAGCCAGCAAUCUAAUGGAGAAGUCUUGAGGCUACUGUAAGAAUAAGACUGAAAACCAGAGGCAGGAGGCUUAAGUCCAAAACCUGAGAACACCAGAGAACUCCUGACUCCAGGGAAUAUUAAUCAAUAUGAGCUCAUCAAAAGCCUCCAUACCUUCACUGAAACCAAGCACCACCCAAGAGCCAACAAGUUCCAGAGCAAGACAUACUAGGCAAAUUCUCCAGCAACACAGGUACAUGGCCCUGAGCUUCAAUAUACAGGCUUCCCAAAGUCACACCAAGCUCACUGAUACCUCAAAACUCACUACUAGACACUUCAUUGCACUCCAGAGAGAAGAAAUCCAGCUCCACCCACCAGAACACAGACACAAGCUUCCCUAACCAGGAUACCCUGACAAGUCACCCAUCCAACCCUACCCAUAGCAAGGAACCUCCACAAUAAAGAGGAACCACAAACUGCCAGAACACAGAAAAGCCACCCCAAACACAGCAUAUAAACAAGAUGAAAAGGGAGAGAAAUACUCACCAGGUAAAGGAACAGGAAAAAUGCCCACCAAACCAAACAAAAGAGGAAGGGUAGGGAAUCUACCUGAUAAAGAAUUCAGAAUAAUGAUAGUGAAAAUGAUCCAAAAUCUUGAAAAAAAAAAUGAAGUUACAGAUAAAUAUCCUGAAGACAAGGAUUGAGAAGAUGCAAGAAAGGUUUGACAAGGACCUAGAAGAAAUAAAGAAGAGUCAAUAUAUAUAAUGAAUAAUGCAAUAAAUGAGAUCAAAAACACUCUGGAAGGAACCAACAAUAGAAUAACGGAGGCAGAAGAUAGGAUAAGUAAAGUAGAAGAUAGGAUAAGUGAAAUAGAAGAUAGAAUGGUAGAAAUAAAUGAAGCAGAAAGGAAAAAAGAAAAAAGAAUUAAAAGAAAUGAGGACAACCUCAGAG
Bos taurus (domestic cattle) is the source of this 1119-nucleotide long non-coding RNA. NCBI's taxonomy places the organism in Eukaryota, Metazoa, Chordata, Mammalia, Artiodactyla, Bovidae. The record is from Ensembl.